GCUGAUGUAGUUCAGUAGUAGAACAGUGGCGAAGAAGGUGGCGGUUGAAAGACCGUUAGAGGGACACCCGUAACCACGCCGCAGGGGGAUGGUGCAAAUCCAUCCAUCAGCACCA
Molecule: transfer RNA, 115 nt
Filed under: Clostridia bacterium
Lineage: Bacteria; Bacillati; Bacillota; Clostridia
Description: tRNA-OTHER
Rfam family: tRNA
About the family: Transfer RNA (tRNA) molecules are approximately 80 nucleotides in length.
Source: RNAcentral